AUACGUAGGGUGCGAGCGUUGUCCUGAAUUACUGGGCGUAAAGAGCUCGUAGGUGGUUUGUCGCGUCGUCUGUGAAAUUCCGGGGCUUAACUCCGGGCGUGCAGGCGAUACGGGCAUAACUUGAGUACUGUAGGGGAGACUGGAAUUCCUGGUGUAGCGGUGAAAUGCGCAGAUAUCAGGAGGAACACCGGUGGCGAAGGCGGGUCUCUGGGCAGUAACUGACGCUGAGGAGCGAAAGCAUGGGUAGCGAACAGGAUUAGAUACCCUGGUAGUCCAUGCCGUAAACGGUGGGCGCUAGGUGUAGGGGUCUUCCACGACUUCUGUGCCGUAGCUAACGCAUUAAGCGCCCCGCCUGGGGAGUACGGCCGCAAGGCUAAAACUCAAAUGAAUUGACGGGG
This 398-nucleotide ribosomal RNA is filed under the name uncultured bacterium. RNAcentral describes it as "partial 16S ribosomal RNA". It matches the Rfam family "Bacterial small subunit ribosomal RNA", at positions 523 to 918 of the family's 1533-position model. The record is from RNAcentral.